This 252-nucleotide ribosomal RNA is filed under the name uncultured bacterium. Its description in RNAcentral is "partial 16S ribosomal RNA". It matches the Rfam family "Bacterial small subunit ribosomal RNA", at positions 524 to 776 of the family's 1533-position model. The record is from RNAcentral.
UACAGAGGUCCCAAGCGUUGUUCGGAUUCAUUGGGCGUAAAGGGAGCGUAGGUGGUCGGGUAAGUCAGAUGUCAAAUUUCGGUGCUCAACGCCGAAUCGCAUUUGAUACUGCCUGGCUAGAGGAAUUGAGAGGAGGCCGGAAUUCACGGUGUAGCAGUGAAAUGCGUAGAUAUCGUGAGGAAGACCAACGGCGAAAGCAGGCCUCUGGAAAUCUCCUGACACUGAGGCUCGAAGGCCAGGGGAGCAAACGGG